RNAcentral lists this unclassified non-coding RNA (228 nucleotides) under Melitaea cinxia (Glanville fritillary). Its description in RNAcentral is "misc RNA ENSMCXG00005015483.1". Lineage: Eukaryota; Metazoa; Arthropoda; Insecta; Lepidoptera; Nymphalidae. The record is from RNAcentral.
CCGGUCGAGCCUCGAGACAAAGAGUGGCGAUCCUUGCAGUUGUUGCAAUUUCACUCAUCAAAACGUUAAAGUUUACUGACUAAUACAUAUUUUAUUCAUGCUUGAUCACAACAUGACAAAACAUAAUGUAGCUAUGUCAACAUAAUCUUUAGGCAAAGUCGUUAGGCAGAACAAGCCUCUGAGAGUAUCGCAGCGUGUAGGCAGGAAGGGUAAAGGCGCGCAGGCGGG